UGUGGGCAUGUGAUGAAUCUCAUUUUUAUGGGUAAUAUGCGUCUGAAUUAGUAUAUCUUUGAUGCUUAAUCACCUUGGAGAACUGAUGCCCUGU
Small nucleolar RNA from Hibiscus syriacus, 94 nucleotides. NCBI's taxonomy places the organism in Eukaryota, Viridiplantae, Streptophyta, Magnoliopsida, Malvales, Malvaceae. The record is from RefSeq and is a predicted model, not a curated record.